ACAUUUGAAGAAUUGUCUGUGGUGAUACAGACGAGUUUCUUUCCACCCAGGUCCCACGUAACUUUUGUUUUUCCCAGACCAGCAGCUAUGUUCUG
Molecule: long non-coding RNA, 95 nt
Organism: Melanotaenia boesemani (Boeseman's rainbowfish)
Lineage: Eukaryota; Metazoa; Chordata; Actinopteri; Atheriniformes; Melanotaeniidae
Exons: 3
Source: RefSeq, a predicted model, not a curated record